GACGAACGCUGGCGGCGUGCCUAAUACAUGCAAGUAGAACGCACAGUUUAUACCGUAGCUUGCUACACCAUAGACUGUGAGUUGCGAACGGGUGAGUAACGCGUAGGUAACCUGCCUGGUAGCGGGGGAUAACUAUUGGAAACGAUAGCUAAUACCGCAUAAUAUUGAUUAUUGCAUGAUAAUUGAUUGAAAGAUGCUAUUGCAUCACUACCAGAUGGACCUGCGUUGUAUUAGCUAGUAGGUGAGGUAACGGCUCACCUAGGCGACGAUACAUAGCCGACCUGUGAGGGUGCUCGGCCCCACUGGGACUGGGACACGGCCCAGACUGCUACAGGAGGCAGCAGUAGGGAAUCUUCGGCAAUGGACGAAAGUCUGACCGGGCAACGCCGCGUGAGUGAAGAAGGUUUUCGGAUCGUAAAGCUCUGUUGUAAGAGAAGAACGGGUGUGAGAGUGGAAAGUUCACACUGUGACGGUAUCUUACCAGAAAGGGACGGCUAACUACGUG
RNAcentral lists this ribosomal RNA (505 nucleotides) under uncultured bacterium. RNAcentral describes it as "partial 16S ribosomal RNA". It matches the Rfam family "Bacterial small subunit ribosomal RNA", at positions 28 to 507 of the family's 1533-position model. The record is from RNAcentral.